This 632-nucleotide long non-coding RNA is filed under the name Homo sapiens (human). Its description in RNAcentral is "HSALNT0252168". The record is from RNAcentral. Lineage: Eukaryota; Metazoa; Chordata; Mammalia; Primates; Hominidae.
CCGGCGGCUCCACCCCCUCCUCCCCGCCCACAGCCCGGCGGGCCCGGGACUUCUCUCCGUCAGUCCCGAAUCGCCCACCUCCCCCGGGGUGAGGGGCUGCCUACCCUCUCUCGCGCGCUCCCUCGGCUUUGCCCCCAGUGCCUACCCUCGGCCAGGACCUCGACGCCGUCUCUCUACCGUGCAAAAGCGGGACCUGAGCUGGCGGCAGUGUCCUCCCCAACCCAAGUGCCUCAGAUGAUCCUAACUAGUUAUGCAGUAACCUGUGGUGGUCCCAUUUCUUGUGCUCAUGAUUGGUUUAAGGAUCGGGAUGUGACCAGUAUUGGACAAUGAGAGAUGAGAGGAAGUCGGCUGGAAGGCUUCUAGAAAAAGCAUUCCUCACUAUCAAAAAGAGAUGCGCAAAGCGGCAGCUUCUCUUCUGCUGCUGGAUGUUACCGAAUCUGCAUAUGAUAGUAGGAUGACGGCAGCCACCUUGUAGCAAAGAGCAGAGUUUCCUCCAAGAGAACAUUCUACGGGGAGAAGAGGAAACAGCACCAAUGACAUCACUUUGCCUGAGUUCACAAACCCUACAGGUGCUCCCACCCCCUACAUUUUUCCUUGUGUGAGAUAAUAAAUUCCUUAUUAUUUAAGCCAUU